This 253-nucleotide ribosomal RNA is filed under the name uncultured bacterium. Its description in RNAcentral is "partial 16S ribosomal RNA". It matches the Rfam family "Bacterial small subunit ribosomal RNA", at positions 524 to 776 of the family's 1533-position model. The record is from RNAcentral.
UACGUAGGGGGCAAGCGUUAUCCGGAAUUACUGGGUGUAAAGGGAGCGUAGACGGUAAUGUAAGUCUGGAGUGAAAGGCGGGGGCCCAACCCCCGGACUGCUCUGGAAACUAUGUUACUAGAGUGCAGGAGAGGUAAGCGGAAUUCCUAGUGUAGCGGUGAAAUGCGUAGAUAUUAGGAGGAACACCAGUGGCGAAGGCGGCCUGCUGGACGAUGACUGACGUUGAGGCUCGAAAGCGCGGGGAGCAAACAGG